RNAcentral lists this ribosomal RNA (600 nucleotides) under Trichoderma virens. RNAcentral describes it as "eukaryotic LSU rRNA". It matches the Rfam family "Eukaryotic large subunit ribosomal RNA", at positions 121 to 744 of the family's 3401-position model. Lineage: Eukaryota; Fungi; Ascomycota; Sordariomycetes; Hypocreales; Hypocreaceae. The record is from RNAcentral.
UCUGGCCCCUCGGGGUCCGAGUUGUAAUUUGUAGAGGAUGCUUUUGGUGAGGUGCCGCCCGAGUUCCCUGGAACGGGACGCCACAGAGGGUGAGAGCCCCGUCUGGCUGGCCACCGAGCCUCUGUAAAGCUCCUUCGACGAGUCGAGUAGUUUGGGAAUGCUGCUCAAAAUGGGAGGUAUAUGUCUUCUAAAGCUAAAUAUUGGCCAGAGACCGAUAGCGCACAAGUAGAGUGAUCGAAAGAUGAAAAGCACCUUGAAAAGAGGGUUAAAUAGUACGUGAAAUUGUUGAAAGGGAAGCGCUUGUGACCAGACUUGGGCGCGGCGGAUCAUCCGGGGUUCUCUCCGGUGCACUUCGCCGCGUCUAGGCCAGCAUCAGUUCGUCGCGGGGGAAAAAGGCUUCGGGAACGUGGCUCCUCCGGGAGUGUUAUAGCCCGUUGCAUAAUACCCUGCGGUGGACUGAGGACCGCGCAUCUGCAAGGAUGCUGGCGUAAUGGUCACCAGCGACCCGUCUUGAAACACGGACCAAGGAGUCGUCUUCGUAUGCGAGUGUUCGGGUGUCAAACCCCUACGCGUAAUGAAAGUGAACGCAGGUGAGAGCUU